GUAACAAGAGGUCUACGGACUUAAACUCUCUCGACACACGGUUGGAAGACAAGGGCAUUCCGUAUCACAUUCCGUAUGGCGUUCGUCCAUUGCUCGGACGUUCUUCGCCUAAACCCUAGUAACUACGGUUACACGGUUUCCCGCCAACCGUGCCCACCGGGCUACUUAAGCGCCUCGGAAACACCCCGGUGUAUCUUAACACCACCUUUCUCGGUUGUUUAUAUAGGUAGUCUAUAGGUCAGAAUCUAAGUCUAGCACACGACUGUUACAGUGGUGCGAAAUGCCAGGAGUCACCCUGACUGUUGAGGUCCCAGGAUCGAUCCUGGAUGGGUGCAUGGGUCCGAACUAGUGCACAAGAGGGUUACACCCUCCUUGCCCUGAGGUGGAUGGCCCGUGAGAGCGAGGCAACAACGCAACUGGGCCAAAGGCAGUAAACCCACCCCGCGCCUGCAGUGAGCCUAAACAUCUACGGAUGCGCUGGUGGUCUCACGAGGACGUUCGCUUCCAGGGGGGGAGGACUGUAACGGGAGACUCGCUCCCUUGUCAACCUAGGCGACAAUCCUCUUGUUACAUUGGUGCGAAAUGCCAGGAAAUCCGCAAAUCACACUCGUCACGGACCAUAACCCAAACACGUUCAUUGAUUCACAAAAGAGCCUGGCCAAACUGUCCCGCCGCCAAGUGCGCUGGAUUGAAUACCUUUCCCGCUUCCACUACACGUGGGAAUACCGGCCUGGCCGUAUCAACGUCGCAGACCCCCUCUCUCGCAUGCACGCCACGGUACUUGCCGCUAAGGCACAGUCCCGUUACUCCUUGACCUCUUCUCUGCCCGGCGAGAUUCGCGUGAGCUAUUCACACGACCCGCUAUUCGUCGACGCAAGGGCACUCGCCCGCCACGGUGUCACCUACGACCAAACUGAUGGUUUCUACCGCUGCCAAGGCAAAAUCGUUGUCCCUAACUACAACGAUUUGCGCACCCGCAUUAUCAGGGAGCUUCACGACAGCCCCUACGCCGGCCAUCGGGGUAUCGAACGAACCCUCGAGCUUGUCCAGCGAGAGUUCUGGUGGCCGGGCAUCACUAGUGACGUAAGGCGCCAAGUCCUAGGAUGCGAGCUCUGCCAGCGAAACAAACCGCUCAUGCAGAAGCCUGCGGGUCUGUGCAAGCCUUUGGAGCUCCCACGACACGUAUGGACACACGUGUCGAUGGAUUUUAUUACGCACCUGCCCACAACUCGAGACGGGCAUGACACUAUCGUGGUAUUCGUCGACCGGCUAACCAAAAUGUGUCGUGUAGCCCCCACGACCGAGACAAUUACAGCUGAAGACUUUGCCCAGCUGUUCCUUGAAACUGUUUGGCGAAGCCACGGUUUUCCAGAGGAGGUCGUAUCCGAUCGCGGCUCCGUUUUCGUGAACAAGUUCAUGGCCGAGCUGUAUCGCCUCACAGGCACCAAGCAAAACGUGUCUACAGCUUAUCAUCCACAGACGGAUGGCCAAACGGAGCGCAUGAACCGCGUGCUGCAAGAAAUUCUGCGCAACUACGUAAAUCCUACUCACGACGACUGGGAUAAGAAGCUACCACUCGUCGAAUUCGCAAUCAACAACACAUACCAGGAAUCCAUCAAGGCAACGCCUUUCCAGCUGAACUACUGUCGCAACCCUCGCCUGCCUACUCUCGGCUCUGCAGACAGCAAAGUCCCUGCUGCUGCUCGCUUCUGCUCCGAUAUCGAGGAAAGCAUCCAGCGUGCUAAGCGCUGCAUCUCCGCUGCUCAGGAGCGCUACAAGCACUACGCCGAUCGCAACAUGCGCGAGGUGAGCUACAAAGUAGGCGACCGAGUGCUACUGAACACUCAGCACAUCAACCUUAAGCAUCCCGGCACGAAGAAGUUUCUGCCGCUCUGGAUUGGACCCUAUACGGUCACUCAAACAAUUGGACCUGUCGCAGUCAAACUCGACCUCCCAGCGAACUACCGCAUUCACCCAGUUUUCCAUGUUUCGCGCCUCAAACCUCACAAACAGGCACCCGGCUCCGUCUGGACGCCUCCGCCCCCUGUGGCCGUGCUUGACGAUGGCGCAUACUGGUCCGUUGACCGCCUCCUGGCCCACCGCGACAAGAAGCGCGGCGGUAAGACGGUCAAGGAGUACCUCGUCUCCUGGGAAGGUUACGGUCCUGAGCACAACACUUGGGAACCGGAUGCACACAUCACUGAGUCUGCGAUUGAUGAGUACUGGGCUUCCCAGGCCACACGCAGGUCCAAACGCAAGGUUGCAGCCGACACGGCCCCGGCCCCGGCUGCAGGGGUUACACCAACUGCGCCACCACGCAAGCGUGGGCGUACUGCUUAGGGAAGUCCUGCCACGGCAGACCCCAACACUCCGAAGGCCCCCUGACGCAAGCUCGCAGGGACUCUCGCUCUAGGUGGGGAGGACUGUAACAAGAGGUCUACGGACUUAAACUCUCUCGACACACGGUUGGAAGACAAGGGCAUUCCGUAUCACAUUCCGUAUGGCGUUCGUCCAUUGCUCGGACGUUCUUCGCCUAAACCCUAGUAACUACGGUUACACGGUUUCCCGCCAACCGUGCCCACCGGGCUACUUAAGCGCCUCGGAAACACCCCGGUGUAUCUUAACACCACCUUUCUCGGUUGUUUAUAUAGGUAGUCUAUAGGUCAGAAUCUAAGUCUAGCACACGACUGUUACACGCUGGCAGGCAGCGGUUGCGCUUGUUGUGCAUUCAUACAUUGGCCAGCGGGCGCGGGUUGAUUGCAUAAAUCUAUCAACUCAUGACGAUGGCCAGAACUCAUGAGGCUUUCGUGUCGGUGGAUUGCGGAACUGCUGGAUCGGGCUGGAAUGGCUGGUGGGGAAGCUUUGUUCGGCGCAGCUAUGUGUGUAGAUGUUGUGAGUACUUCUGGCGGAGUCGCGCGGAAUCGGUAGCGGAAGUCAUCGGAAAAGCCUCAUGCGCCACGGCCAGGCUACAGUAUAACGACAUCUGACUGUGGCCCGCACACGCGUAACAACGGUACCCCGGCGCGGCCAGGGCAGAUGCGCGAGAUCUGGGCCAUGCUCUGCUGGUCCCAGAGGCGCAAAUUAUUGAUGCGUUCGAUGGUGAACGACAUGUCUGGUGGUAGCGUCUCUGCAGCAUACCUGCCAACGCCGUCUGCUGCGGCUGCAGUGCUGGGCCCACCCCGCCGGCCGCUGCGCUUGUACCCACCACGUCUACC
This 3215-nucleotide long non-coding RNA is filed under the name Chlamydomonas reinhardtii. Its description in RNAcentral is "long non-coding RNA (CREI_LNC000717)". Lineage: Eukaryota; Viridiplantae; Chlorophyta; Chlorophyceae; Chlamydomonadales; Chlamydomonadaceae. The record is from RNAcentral.